This 580-nucleotide ribosomal RNA is filed under the name uncultured Vibrio sp. Its description in RNAcentral is "bacterial SSU rRNA". It matches the Rfam family "Bacterial small subunit ribosomal RNA", at positions 94 to 670 of the family's 1533-position model. Lineage: Bacteria; Pseudomonadati; Pseudomonadota; Gammaproteobacteria; Vibrionales; Vibrionaceae. The record is from RNAcentral.
AGCGGCGGACGGGUGAGUAAUGCCUAGGAAAUUGCCCUGAUGUGGGGGAUAACCAUUGGAAACGAUGGCUAAUACCGCAUGAUGCCUACGGGCCAAAGAGGGGGACCUUCGGGCCUCUCGCGUCAGGAUAUGCCUAGGUGGGAUUAGCUAGUUGGUGAGGUAAGGGCUCACCAAGGCGACGAUCCCUAGCUGGUCUGAGAGGAUGAUCAGCCACACUGGAACUGAGACACGGUCCAGACUCCUACGGGAGGCAGCAGUGGGGAAUAUUGCACAAUGGGCGCAAGCCUGAUGCAGCCAUGCCGCGUGUAUGAAGAAGGCCUUCGGGUUGUAAAGUACUUUCAGUCGUGAGGAAGGCGGCGUCGUUAAUAGCGGCGUUGUUUGACGUUAGCGACAGAAGAAGCACCGGCUAACUCCGUGCCAGCAGCCCCGGUAAUACGGAGGGUGCGAGCGUUAAUCGGAAUUACUGGGCGUAAAGCGCAUGCAGGUGGUUUGUUAAGUCAGAUGUGAAAGCCCGGGGCUCAACCUCGGAAUAGCAUUUGAAACUGGCAGACUAGAGUACUGUAGAGGGGGGUAGAAUUUC